AUGGCCUACGCCGUCCGGAUCCAGCUGUCGUGUUUGCUCCAAUCGAGUCACACCUCCGGUGACUUCGGACUGUGCAGCAACCUCCGUCAUCAAACUGCAACAGUCGCUCAGCCCCCAUCUCCGAUCGUCCUCACCGCCUCACACAACUCUCAAUCGCGGAACGCCAUCACUGCUUGGAACCACAGGCCGCCAUCCUCGCGCCACCAACAACCUCAUCCGCGAACCGCCGUGAUUCCAGCCACACCAUCGAUAGCGCUUCCCUCUGUUUCAGAUCUCGCCGCCGGUAACCUAUUCCAUGCUCUCAUUUAA
This is a non-coding RNA of Vicia faba (fava bean), 309 nucleotides long. The record is from the annotation of a GenBank genome assembly. Lineage: Eukaryota; Viridiplantae; Streptophyta; Magnoliopsida; Fabales; Fabaceae.